AUUGAACGCUGGCGGCAGGCUUAACACAUGCAAGUCGAGCGGGGAAGGGUAGCUUGCUACCUGACCUAGCGGCGGACGGGUGAGUAAUGCUUAGGAAUCUGCCUAUUAGUGGGGGACAACAUUCCGAAAGGAAUGCUAAUACCGCAUACGCCCUACGGGGGAAAGCAGGGGAUCUUCGGACCUUGCGCUAAUAGAUGAGCCUAAGUCAGAUGGGCUAGUUGGUGGGGUAAAGGCCUACCAAGGCGACGAUCUGUAGCGGGUCUGAGAGGAUGAGCCGCCACACUGGGACUGAGACACGGGCCAGACUCCUACGUGAGGCAGCAGUGGGGAAUAUUGGACAAUGGGGGGAACCCUGAUCCAGCCAUGCCGCGUGUGUGAAGAAGGCGUUAUGGUUGUAAAGCACUUUAAGCGAGGAGGAGGCUACUUUAGUUAAUACCUAGAGAUAGUGGACGUUACUCGCAGAAUAAGCACCGGCUAACUCUGUGCCAGCCGCCGCCGUAA
This 501-nucleotide ribosomal RNA is filed under the name uncultured bacterium. RNAcentral's name for it is "partial 16S ribosomal RNA". It matches the Rfam family "Bacterial small subunit ribosomal RNA", at positions 30 to 523 of the family's 1533-position model. The record is from RNAcentral.